UACGGAGGAUGCGAGCGUUAUCCGGAUUUAUUGGGUUUAAAGGGUGCGUAGGCGGAUGCAUAAGUCAGGGGUGAAAUACUGUAGCUCAACUAUAGAAUUGCCUUUGAUACUGUGUAUCUUGAGUACAUCUGAGGUAGGCGGAAUGUGUGGUGUAGCGGUGAAAUUCAUAGAUAUUAGGAGGAACACCAGUGGCGAAGGCGGCUAACUGGUCCGGUACUGACGCUGAGGUGCGAAAGCGUGGGGAGCAAACAGG
This 253-nucleotide ribosomal RNA is filed under the name uncultured bacterium. Its description in RNAcentral is "partial 16S ribosomal RNA". It matches the Rfam family "Bacterial small subunit ribosomal RNA", at positions 524 to 776 of the family's 1533-position model. The record is from RNAcentral.